Molecule: long non-coding RNA, 2113 nt
Organism: Mirounga angustirostris (Northern elephant seal)
Lineage: Eukaryota; Metazoa; Chordata; Mammalia; Carnivora; Phocidae
Exons: 3
Source: RefSeq, a predicted model, not a curated record
GAUCUGAAAUGGGCUUCUGAUAGGAUAGAAAGCCUUCACAGGGCUUUGGUCUCCCAGGGUAGUGGUUUCCAAACUGUUUUGAUUAUGAACAUUUAUGUAUAAAUCACACACUAGAGUCAAAACCCAUAUGAAAGCUUACUAAAGCUCAAUUUAUUUUUCAGAUAAAAAAGUUUAAAUGGAAAUCUUCCUAUGUCCUCCCACCUCCUGACAGAUGGCCUUGCUCACUCCUGCACUCAGCCCAGCGAGGAGCCCUCCGCACUCUAGAUGAAGGCAGCCUCGCUCAGAGCAGACCAUCCCACCUUGCAGGAGGCUUGAAAAGAAGCCCGGUCAUCUUCGGCAAGGCUCUUCUGCUGAAGCCGGGGUUAUGCUACGGCUCCCUACCCCCAAAGGCCCCGGCAGCCUGUCCCUAGAGCCACAACACCCGCUUGCAGAAAGGCACUAAUUACUGUGCUGAGCUCGGAGCUGCCUAAUGAGGCCGUUUGGAUUUCCUGUUGUUCUGGCUUCCCAAGACCCUUAAAGGGCCAGCAUCGCACUAGGAGUGUGCCCGGGUGGGACACCAACCGUCCUGGUGAGGGUGAGCACAGAAGGGCUAUCCCUCAGCUCAGCCUGAAUGCCAAGGGCAGUGACAAAGGGACGGUCUAGCACUUCCCAGCUGCUCACAUCCUCCAUGAGGACCUGCUCCGAAGGGCCCCCGCACCGGAAGCAGGAGCUUCAGAACUGUGUAGCCUGGCCCGAGCAUGGGGUAGGGUGGGAGGGGGAGGCCAGGAGGCCAGGGCUGAGGAGGAAAGGCUGGUGAUGUGACCAGUGCCCAGACUGUGAGAACCACUGCAGCACCAGGCAGGAGGGAAACGCCAUGACGUCCUGUGCUGCCCCCCCCCCCCCAGAAAAUAAACACUUGUUGUCUGAGCAGCCCGCGCCACUUCCGAAGGGGCAGGCUAGCCAAGCUAGUGGCCCAGGAAUGGGCCUCGGCCCAGCUCUGAGCAAAGUGCUUUGCCCAAGUUGGAUGCAGAAAGGCCUGCAGGUCAGGCUGCCCCUAACCCAGUCCCUCCAUGGCACACCACCAAACAGGGCUUACGGGAUGCAUUCGUCCCUUCUGUGCCUUAGGGCUCAUCUUUGCACACGGAGGAGUGGAGCAUGGCUGGUGAUGCCAGGGAGCCCCCUUCCAUGUGUGCCACAGACUGCUGACGGACUGGCAGGGCAGGUGGGGGAGUGCCCAUCUGCCUCCCGAGUUCCCCUCCGAUCUGUGGCACAGCCUCAGCCCUGCCCCAAGUGCCCCCCCGGCUGCCACAGACUGUGGGUCCCCUGGGCCCCAGGAACCCUGGCCUGCAGCACCCUCCCCCACAGACAGGGUGACGACAUUGUUGUUCUUAUACGGGGCCUUCCGCCUGGAGUUCCGGCUCCGUUAAAUGGUGGGAAUGAGGGUCCCAGGGACAAAGCCAGCCUGGUUCCCGCAGCCACCUCAGAAUGGACGGAAUCCCCAUUGUGUGCGGGCGCCUUGUGCCCGCCCUCCCCUUGCCCGCGCCGGACAUGCCAACAAACAGCUCAUUGAGUCCGGGGGAGGGGCCCGGGAGACAACAAUGUCCCCCAGCGGGCCAGGGCAGUGAGCUCAGCUGGGGGUGGGGGCUGCCAUGGAGGCCGGAGGGCGAUGAUCUCAGCCUGGGGAGGGACAGCCCUUGCGACAGGCUGACCUGAGCCUGGCCUCCCCGGUGAGGCUGAGAAGGGCUGACCAGGGCUGGCCUCACCCUGGCUGCCCCACCCCCGGGCCGAGCUGGGAACUGACCUGAGCUUCUCACGCUUAAACUGCCCCAGCCCAGGGUGCCAAGCAGGCGCGGCAGGGGGCCCACAGGACCCCGCAGAGCCACCCCAGAUCCAAGAGGCUGGUGGACCCUCCCUCUGGCAGCGCCGUUCCAGAAGCCCCUGAGCGAGGCCCAGUCCAAACAGAGCCCUCCCAUGACACCAGGCCACAUUGACCACAGCAGGACUUUUGGAUCAAUGAGCAGUGUAGACACUGUCACAGGAAGUUCUCCCAUAUGUCUAACCUUUCUAUAACCAGAACUAUCUAAAGAGCAGGCUCAGCCUGGAGAGGGGGUGAGGAUCCAAUCCCCAGAAGUAU